This 93-nucleotide transfer RNA is filed under the name compost metagenome. RNAcentral's name for it is "tRNA-Thr". The record is from RNAcentral.
CGUGCCGGUAGCGCGCGGCCAGCGCCGGGUCCUUCGUCCGCACCUCGAUCCGGCUCUCGGGGCGAUCGCCGCCCUCCGCCGGCGGCGGCGGGU